RNAcentral lists this ribosomal RNA (482 nucleotides) under uncultured bacterium. RNAcentral's name for it is "bacterial SSU rRNA". It matches the Rfam family "Bacterial small subunit ribosomal RNA", at positions 15 to 518 of the family's 1533-position model. The record is from RNAcentral.
GAUCCUGGCUUAGAAUGAACGCUGGCGGCAUGGAUUAGGCAUGCAAGUCGAACGUACUCCCUUCGGGGAGAAAGUGGCGAAAGGGUGAGUAACACGUGAGCAACCUGCCUCCGGAUCCGGAAUAAUCCAGGGAAACUUGGUCUAAAACCGGAUGAAGACAUUGGUCCGCAUGGUCUAAUGUUAAAAUAUUUAUAGUCCGGAGAGGGGCUCGCGGCCCAUUAGCUUGUUGGCGGGGUAAUGGCCCACCAAGGCUACGACGGGUAGGUGGUCUGAGAGGAUGGUCACCCACACUGGGACUGAGACACUGCCCAGACUCCUACGGGAGGCUGCAGUCGAGAAUCUUCCGCAAUGGGCGCCAAGCCUGACGGAGCGAUGCCGCGUGAGGGAUGAAGGCCUUCGGGUUGUAAACCUCUGUCAUCCGGGACGAAAACAAUGACGGUACCGGAAAAGGAAGCCACGGCUAACCACGUGCCAGCCGCGGC